GAUAAACGCUGGCGGCGUGCCUAAUGCAUGCAAGUCGAACGGAUAGCAGCCUUCGGGCAGCUAUUAGUGGCAAACGGGUGAGUAACACGUGGGAAUCUGCCCGAGAGUGGGGAACAACUCCUCGAAAGAGGAGCUAAUACCGCAUACGGUCGCUCUGUGAAAGGAGAGGACUAAAGCCUUAAGCAAUUAAGGCGCUCUAGGAGGAGCCUGCGGCUGAUUAGCUAGUUGGUGGGGUAAAGGCCUACCAAGGCGAUGAUCAGUAGCUGGGUCUGAGAGGAUGGACAGCCACACUGGGACUGAGAUACGGCCCAGACUCCUACGGGAGGCAGCAGCAAGGAAUUUUGGACAAUGGGCGAAAGCCUGAUCCAGCCAUGCCGCGUGCAGGAUGAGGGCCUU
Molecule: ribosomal RNA, 396 nt
Filed under: uncultured bacterium
Lineage: Bacteria
Description: bacterial SSU rRNA
Rfam family: Bacterial small subunit ribosomal RNA
Source: RNAcentral